RNAcentral lists this ribosomal RNA (446 nucleotides) under uncultured bacterium. RNAcentral describes it as "bacterial SSU rRNA". It matches the Rfam family "Bacterial small subunit ribosomal RNA", at positions 330 to 792 of the family's 1533-position model. The record is from RNAcentral.
CCCAGACUCCUACGGGAGGCAGCAGUGGGGAAUAUUGCACAAUGGGGGAAACCCUGAUGCAGCAACGCCGCGUGAGUGAAGAAGUAUUUCGGUAUGUAAAGCUCUAUCAGCAGGGAAGAAGAAGGACGGUACCUGACUAAGAAGCCCCGGCUAACUACGUGCCAGCAGCCGCGGUAAUACGUAGGGGGCGAGCGUUAUCCGGAUUUACUGGGUGUAAGGGGAGCGUAGACGGUUAAUCAAGUCUGAAGUGAAAGCCCGCGGCUCAACUGCGGAACGGCUUUGGAAACUGAGUAACUGGAGUGCUGGAGGGGCAGGCGGAAUUCCUGGUGUAGCGGUGAAAUGCGUAGAUAUCAGGAGGAACACCAGUGGCGAAGGCGGCUUACUGGACUGUAACUGACGUUGAGGCUCGAAAGCGUGGGGAGCAAACAGGAUUAGAUACCCCCGUA